This 434-nucleotide ribosomal RNA is filed under the name uncultured bacterium. RNAcentral's name for it is "partial 16S ribosomal RNA". It matches the Rfam family "Bacterial small subunit ribosomal RNA", at positions 29 to 507 of the family's 1533-position model. The record is from RNAcentral.
AGCGAACGCUGGCGGCAGGCCUAACACAUGCAAGUCGAACGAACCUUUCGGGGUUAGUGGCGGACGGGUGAGUAACACGUGGGAACGUGCCUUUAGGUUCGGAAUAACUCAGGGAAACUUGUGCUAAUACCGAAUGUGCCCUUCGGGGGAAAGAUUUAUCGCCUUUAGAGCGGCCCGCGUCUGAUUAGCUAGUUGGUUGAGGUAAUGGCUCACCAAGGCGACGAUCAGUAGCUGGUCUGAGAGAAUGAUCCGCCACAUUGGGACUGAGACACGGCCCAAACUCCUACGGGAGGCAGCAGUGGGGAAUCUUGCGCAAUGGGCGAAAGCAUGACGCAGCCAUGCCGCGUGAAUGAUGAAGGUCUUAGGAUUGUAAAAUUCUUUCACCGGGGACGAUAAUGACGGUACCCGGAGAAGAAGCCCCGGCUAACUUCGUG